GACGAACGCUGGCGGCGUGCUUAACACAUGCAAGUCGAACGGAAAGGCCCUGCUUGCAGGCUACUCGAGUGGCGAACGGGCGAGUAACACGUGGGUGAUCUGCCCUCCACUUCGGCAUAAGCCUGGGCGACUGGGUCUAAUACCUGAUAGGAGAUAUUUUUAGCGGGAUGGUUGGAAAGUUUUUUCGGUGUAGGGUGAGCUCGCGGCCUAUCAGCUUGUUGGUGGGGUAAUGGCGUACCGACGCGGCGACGGGUAGCCGGCCUGCGAGGGUGGACGGCCACACUGGCACUGAGAGAAGGCCCAGGCGCCGACUGGUGGCAGAAGGGGGGAAGAUUGCACAAGGGGCGCAGGCCGGAUGCAGCGGGGCCGCGUGUGGGAUGACGGCCUUCGGGUUGUAGACAAGUUGCGCGAGGGACGAAGCUUGUUGUGACGGUACCUAGAGAAGAAGCACCGGCUAACUACGUG
This 465-nucleotide ribosomal RNA is filed under the name uncultured bacterium. RNAcentral describes it as "partial 16S ribosomal RNA". It matches the Rfam family "Bacterial small subunit ribosomal RNA", at positions 28 to 507 of the family's 1533-position model. The record is from RNAcentral.